AGGAAGCCUCCGGGCGGAAUGCGUGGGGACUGAGUGGCGGACGGGUGAGUAACGCGUGGGCAACCUGCCCCAUACAGGGGGAUAACGGUUAGAAAUGGCCGCUAAUACCGCAUAAGCGCACAGCAGCGCAUGCUGCAGUGUGAAAAGCCCUGGCAGUAUGGGAUGGGCCCGCGUCCGAUUAGCUGGUUGGUGGGGUAACGGCCCACCAAGGCGACGAUCGGUAGCCGACCUGAGAGGGUGACCGGCCACAUUGGGACUGAGACACGGCCCAAACUCCUACGGGAGGCAGCAGUGGGGGAUAUUGCACAAUGGGGGGAACCCUGAUGCAGCAACGCCGCGUGGGUGAAGGAGUACCCCGGUACGUAAAGCCCUAUCGGCAGGGAAGAAGAUGACGGUACCUGACUAAGAAGCCCCGGCUAACUACGUGCCAGCAGCCGCGGUAAUACGUAGGGGGCAAGCGUUAUCCGGAUUUACUGGGUGUAAAGGGAGCGCAGACGGCAGUGCAAGUCUGGAGUGAAAGCCCGGGGCUCAACCCCGGGACUGCUUUGGAAACUGCAUAGCUGGAGUGCUGGAGAGGCAAGCGGAAUUCCUAGUGUAGCGGUGAAAUGCGUAGAUAUUAGGAAGAACACCAGUGGCGAAGGCGGCUUGCUGGACAGUAACUGACGUUGAGGCUCGAAAGCGUGGGGAGCAAACAGGAUUAGAUACCCUGGUA
RNAcentral lists this ribosomal RNA (712 nucleotides) under uncultured bacterium. Its description in RNAcentral is "bacterial SSU rRNA". It matches the Rfam family "Bacterial small subunit ribosomal RNA", at positions 69 to 792 of the family's 1533-position model. The record is from RNAcentral.